ACGUGAAAUUGUUGAAAGGGAAGCGCGCAUGACCAGACUUGGGCUUGGUUGAUCAUCCAGGGUUCUCCCUGGUGCACUCUUCCAGGCCAGGCCAGCAUCAGUUCGCUGUGGGGGAUAAAGGCUUUGGGAAUGUGGCUCCUCCGGGAGUGUUAUAGCCCAUUGUGUAAUACCCUGUGGUGGACUGAGGUUCGCGCAUCUGCAAGGAUGCUGGCGUAAUGGUCAUCAGCGACCCGUCUUGAAACACGG
Molecule: ribosomal RNA, 246 nt
Filed under: Ilyonectria panacis
Lineage: Eukaryota; Fungi; Ascomycota; Sordariomycetes; Hypocreales; Nectriaceae
Description: partial large subunit ribosomal RNA
Rfam family: Eukaryotic large subunit ribosomal RNA
Source: RNAcentral